This 466-nucleotide ribosomal RNA is filed under the name uncultured bacterium. RNAcentral describes it as "partial 16S ribosomal RNA". It matches the Rfam family "Bacterial small subunit ribosomal RNA", at positions 30 to 507 of the family's 1533-position model. The record is from RNAcentral.
CGAACGCUGGCGGCGUGCUUAACACAUGCACGUCGAACGGAAAGGCCCUGCUUUUGUGGGGUGCUCGAGUGGCGAACGGGUGGGUAACACGUGAGUAACCUGCCCUUGACUUUGGGAUAACUUCAGGAAACUGGGGCUAAUACCGGAUAGGAGCUCCUGCUGCAUGGUGGGGGUUGGAAAGUUUCGGCGGUUGGGGAUGGACUCGCGGCUUAUCAGCUUGUUGGUGGGGUAGUGGCUUACCAAGGCUUUGACGGGUAGCCGGCCUGAGAGGGUGACCGGCCACAUUGGGACUGAGAUACGGCCCAGACUCCUACGGGAGGCAGCAGUGGGGAAUAUUGCACAAUGGGCGGAAGCCUGAUGCAGCAACGCCGCGUGCGGGAUGACGGCCUUCGGGUUGUAAACCGCUUUCGCCUGUGACGAAGCGUGAGUGACGGUAAUGGGUAAAGAAGCACCGGCUAACUACGUG